This 271-nucleotide ribosomal RNA is filed under the name uncultured prokaryote. RNAcentral's name for it is "partial 16S ribosomal RNA". It matches the Rfam family "Bacterial small subunit ribosomal RNA", at positions 524 to 794 of the family's 1533-position model. The record is from RNAcentral.
UACGUAGGUCACAAGCGUUGUCCGGAUUUAUUGGGCGUAAAGGGAGCGCAGGCGGUUUGUUAAGUCUGAUGUGAAAGCCCACGGCUUAACCGUGGAGGGUCAUUGGAAACUGGUCGACUUGAGUGCAGAAGAGGGAAGUGGAAUUCCAUGUGUAGCGGUGAAAUGCGUAGAGAUAUGGAGGAACACCAGUGGCGAAGGCGGCUUCCUGGUCUGUAACUGACACUGAGGCGCGAAAGCGUGGGGAGCAAACAGGAUUAGAUACCCGGGUAGU